This 1433-nucleotide long non-coding RNA is filed under the name Volvox carteri. RNAcentral describes it as "long non-coding RNA (VCAR_LNC001676)". Lineage: Eukaryota; Viridiplantae; Chlorophyta; Chlorophyceae; Chlamydomonadales; Volvocaceae. The record is from RNAcentral.
CUUACAAGACCAAGUGCUUGCGGCAUUUGCGAGUUUUCGCUCACUCAUGUUCGAGGGAAAAUUGCUUGCGUGCAUGGGGAGGAUGGAUGCGUUUGACCUUAAGAAGCACCCAAAAUCCUAAAAUUGUAGAUCGCCUGUCGUCACACGCCAUGCCACGUGUGAAAAUGUCUGUUGUUUAGCUUAGUGAGAGGCAAGUAGGUCGGACUCGGGGGUCAGUUUCAGAGCAAUUGAGGGAAGGGCGUGGGGCCAUGAGACCAUGUGCCUAAUUAGCACCAUUGUCAAAAAUGGACGUUUUCCAAUUCCAGGUAAAACACGAGGCGUUCCCAGUGUGACUUCGAUCACGCAGCCACGGCAGCCAGGUAUAACAACGGGCUUGUGAGGUGCCUCGGACUACAAGUUGCACGGUUUCAACAUCUGCGAAGUAGUUAGUGGUUUGCGCCUGCCAUUCUAGUCUUCACAGAUGUUCAUUGUGGCUUUCCAGGUUACUUGGAUAGGGACUCGGUGAUAUGCCCGCAUGCGGGUUUGGGCAGGGAACAUCACAAGAACUUACAAGACCAAGUGCUUGCGGCAUUUGCGAGUUUUCGCUCACUCAUGUUCGAGGGAAAAUUGCUUGCGUGCAUGGGGAGGAUGGAUGCGUUUGACCUUAAGAAGCACCCAAAAUCCUAAAAUUGUAGAUCGCCUGUCGUCACACGCCAUGCCACGCGUGAAAAUGUCUGUUAUUUAGCUUAGUGAGAGGCAAGUAGGUCGGACUCGGGGGUCAGUUUCAGAGCAAUUGAGGGAAGGGGGUGGGGCCAUGAGACCAUGUGCCUAAUUAGCACCAUUGUCAAAAAUGGACGUUUUCCAAUUCCAGGUAAAACACGAGGCGUUCCCAGUGUGACUUCGAUCACGCAGCCACGGCAGCCAGGUAUAACAACGGGCUUGUGAGGUGCCUCGGACUACAAGUUGCACGGUUUCAACAUCUGCGAAGUAGUUAGUGGUUUGCGCCUGCCAUUCUAGUCUUCACAGAUGUUCAUUGUGGCUUUCCAGGUUACUUGGAUAGGGACUCGGUGAUAUGCCCGCAUGCGGGUUUGGGCAGGGAACAUCACAAGAACUUACAAGACCAAGCGCUUGCGGCAUUUGCGAGUUUUCGCUCACUCAUGUUCGAGGGAAAAUUGCUUGCGUGCAUGGGGAGGAUGGAUGCGUUUGACCUUAAGAAGCACCCAAAAUCCUAAAAUUGUAGAUCGCCUGUCGUCACACGCCAUGCCACGUGUGAAAAUGUCUGUUGUUUAGCUUAGUGAGAGGCAAGUAGGUCGGACUCGGGGGUCAGUUUCAGAGCAAUUGAGGGAAGGGCGUUGGGCCAUGAGACCAUGUGCCUAAUUAGCACCAUUGUCAAAAAUGGACGUUUUCCAAUUCCAGGUAAAACACGAGGCGUUCCCAGUGUGACUUCGAUCACG